UACGGAAGGCAGCAGUGGGGAAUAUUGCACAAUGGGCGCAAGCCUGAUGCAGCCAUGCCGCGUGUAUGAAAAAGGCCUUCGGGUUGUAAAGUACUUUCAGUCGUGAGGAAGGUGUUAAGGUUAAUAACCUUAGCAAUUGACGUUAGCGACAGAAGAAGCACCGGCUAACUCCGUGCCAGCAGCCGCGGUAAUACGGAGGGUGCGAGCGUUAAUCGGAAUUACUGGGCGUAAAGGGCACGCAGGCGGUUAAUUAAGUUGGAUGUGAAAUCCCCGGGCUUAACCUGGGAAUGGCAUUCAAGACUGGUUAGCUAGAGUCUUGUAGAGGGGGUAGAAUUCCAUGUGUAGCGGUGAAAUGCGUAGAGAUGUGGAGGAAUACCGGUGGCGAAGGCGGCCCCUGGACAAAGACUGACGCUCAUGUGCGAAAGCGUGGGGAGCAAACGAGGGAUUU
RNAcentral lists this ribosomal RNA (448 nucleotides) under uncultured bacterium. RNAcentral describes it as "bacterial SSU rRNA". It matches the Rfam family "Bacterial small subunit ribosomal RNA", at positions 340 to 780 of the family's 1533-position model. The record is from RNAcentral.